RNAcentral lists this transfer RNA (67 nucleotides) under Scolytinae sp. BMNH 1043123. Its description in RNAcentral is "tRNA-Asp". Lineage: Eukaryota; Metazoa; Arthropoda; Insecta; Coleoptera; Curculionidae. The record is from RNAcentral.
AAAAAUUUAGUUAAAACUAUAACACUAGCUUGUCAAGCUAUAAUUAUUUAUUUAAAAAUAAUUUUUU